AGUGAACGCUGGCGGUAGGCCUAACACAUGCAAGUCGAACGGCAGCACAGUAAGAGCUUGCUCUUACGGGUGGCGAGUGGCGGACGGGUGAGGACUACAUCGGAAUCUCCUUUUUCGUGGGGGAUAACGUAGGGUAACUUACGCUAAUACCGCAUACGACCUACGGGUGAAAGCAGGGGAUCUUCGGACCUUGCGCGAUUGAAUGAGCCGAUGUCGGAUUAGCUAGUUGGCGGGGUAAAGGCCCACCAAGGCGACGAUCCGUAGCUGGUCUGAGAGGAUGGUCAGCCAGACGGGAACUGAGACACGGUCCAGACUCCUACGGGAGGCAGCAGUGGGGAAUAUUGGACAAUGGGCGCAAGCCUGAUCCAGCCAUACCGCGUGGGGGAAGAAGGCCUUCGGGUUGUAGAGCCCUUUUGUUGGGAAAGAAAAGCAGCAGGUUAAUACCCCGCUGUUCUGACGGUACCCAAAGAAUAAGCACCGGCUAACUUCGUG
This 492-nucleotide ribosomal RNA is filed under the name uncultured bacterium. RNAcentral describes it as "partial 16S ribosomal RNA". It matches the Rfam family "Bacterial small subunit ribosomal RNA", at positions 29 to 507 of the family's 1533-position model. The record is from RNAcentral.